This 21-nucleotide microRNA is filed under the name Asparagus officinalis (garden asparagus). RNAcentral describes it as "aof-miR12139". The record is from miRBase by way of RNAcentral. Lineage: Eukaryota; Viridiplantae; Streptophyta; Magnoliopsida; Asparagales; Asparagaceae.
CGAAUCAAACACAUUGUCGAG